Molecule: ribosomal RNA, 253 nt
Filed under: uncultured bacterium
Lineage: Bacteria
Description: partial 16S ribosomal RNA
Rfam family: Bacterial small subunit ribosomal RNA
Source: RNAcentral
UACGUAUGUCGCAAGCGUUAUCCGGAAUUAUUGGGCAUAAAGGGCAUCUAGGCGGCCAGACAAGUCUGGGGUGAAAACUUGCGGCUCAACCGCAAGCCUGCCCUGGAAACUGUUUGGCUAGAGUGCUGGAGAGGUGGACGGAACUGCACGAGUAGAGGUGAAAUUCGUAGAUAUGUGCAGGAAUGCCGAUGAUGAAGAUAGUUCACUGGACGGUAACUGACGCUGAAGUGCGAAAGCUGGGGGAGCGAAAAGG